CACGUGGGGUGCGAGCGUUGUCCGGAAUUAUUGGGCGUAAAGAGCUCGUAGGCGGUGUGUCGCGUCGGCCGUGAAAACCUGCAGCUUAACUGUGGGCGUGCGGUCGAUACGGGCAGACUAGAGGCAGGUAGGGGAGAAUGGAAUUCCCGGUGUAGCGGUGAAAUGCGCAGAUAUCGGGAGGAACACCGGUGGCGAAGGCGGUUCUCUGGGCCUGACCUGACGCUGAGGAGCGAAAGCGUGGGGAGCGAACAGG
Molecule: ribosomal RNA, 253 nt
Filed under: uncultured bacterium
Lineage: Bacteria
Description: partial 16S ribosomal RNA
Rfam family: Bacterial small subunit ribosomal RNA
Source: RNAcentral